AAAAUUUCUGUUUUUUAAAAUGAGAGAUAGAGAUCUAUAUUCCACUACGGUUACAUAGAGUAACAUUUCUUUCUUUGGAUUGUUUUUGGAAAACUUAAAAAAAAAACCAAAAAUAAUUCCACACAAAAAAGUUAUAUCAUAAAUCGUAAACUAUCACAGAAAUUUAUUUCGAAAAGAACUAAACAUUUCUACUUGAGACAUCCACGGGACAGCUAACAUAAGGAUUGCAGUCAAUUCAAAGGUAAGCUCUUUAAUUUAUAUUCAAAUUAAGUCAAUAUUUGUUUUUAAUAAGAAGAACUGAUCAUUUCACCAACCUUUAUCAUUAGCAGGAAUAUACAUUUUAUUCAAUACCAGAAGGUGUUUGCAGAUCCAUUCUUAAUUUUGCAAAACCCUUAUGACACAGGUAAUGGAGAAAUAUAUGGAGGGGAAGGGGGAAAAAAAACCCCAGAUGAUAAAAUCCUGUAUUUUACAGAUUGACUGAAAUAAUUUUAUUUUACCCCUUGGGACAUACCUACAGUGAGCACAUACUGAACGUUAAAGAAUUGGCAAUCUUCCAUGUAUAUUUGUAGAGUGUCCAGAUGCAACUGUCAUUGAUAAUCAUGCCACCUCGUUAUAAUUUCAGUGGAGUU
Long non-coding RNA from Neogale vison (American mink), 629 nucleotides. RefSeq lists it as uncharacterized. The transcript has 3 exons. The record is from RefSeq and is a predicted model, not a curated record. Lineage: Eukaryota; Metazoa; Chordata; Mammalia; Carnivora; Mustelidae.